This is a long non-coding RNA of Xenia sp. Carnegie-2017, 123 nucleotides long. RefSeq lists it as uncharacterized. The transcript is spliced from 2 exons. Lineage: Eukaryota; Metazoa; Cnidaria; Anthozoa; Malacalcyonacea; Xeniidae. The record is from RefSeq and is a predicted model, not a curated record.
AUGUUCAAAACAUUAUCUCAAGAAUCUGGUUUAACUAUUGACAAUGUGGAAAAAAUUAUGGGUGAUGUGGAAGAUGUCAUGGAUGAAACUGCUGAAAUAAACAACACAAUCAGUGAAGGUACA